Molecule: long non-coding RNA, 606 nt
Organism: Gasterosteus aculeatus aculeatus (three-spined stickleback)
Lineage: Eukaryota; Metazoa; Chordata; Actinopteri; Perciformes; Gasterosteidae
Source: Ensembl
UGUUACUCUGUCAUUAUGGACCGGAAUUGUUUAUCAACGAUGCCUUGCAGAGAUGGAUCCCCCGACCUCCCACUCUCCGCCAGGAGAAGGAGAGUGGCUCGCCGCACUCGCAGACGAAGAAGAAGGAUCAUCCGACGAAGAAGAAGAAGAAGGAUCAUCCGACGAAGAAGAAGAAGGAUCAUCCGACAAAUAAGAAGGAUCACGCGACGAAGAAGAAUGCUCAUGCGACGCCUCGCAGAACUGGAUCCCCCAACCUCCCACUCCCAUUUCCCUGGCUCCCAUCUAGGAGGAGGGGAUUGCCCCCCCGCAUUCGCAGGCUCCUUAUCAUGGUCGUCCGACGAAGAAGAAGGAUCAUCCGACGAAUAAGGAUCAUGCGACGCCGCGCAGAAUUCCAACAGACAAGCCGACGUUAGGAUUUUGUUCAUCAACGAUGCCUCGCAGAACUGGAUCCCCCAACCUCCCCGCCAGGAGAAGGAGAGUGGCUAACGUUCAAACCUACCAAGUCAUUGUCAAAGGAAUAAAUGAAGAGUUGCAGCUAUCAGUCUGACUCUUAAACACCAAUCAAGCCGUUUCCAUCCAAAAUGAACACAUGUACCUACAUCGCUU